CGAACUCCUGACCUUAAGUGAUCCGCCCGCCUCAGCCUCCCAAAGUGCUGCAAUUACAGGCAUGAGCCACUAUGCCCAGCCACAUUCUUAACCUUAAAGGGCUCUGAAUAUGGAGAUAGAACACUGGAGUCGAAGUCCCAGCCCCCUCUGUCGCUCUCUCUGAAGCUCAGUGACUACUCCAGUAUUAAAUGAUGCAUGUAUAAAGU
This 206-nucleotide long non-coding RNA is filed under the name Homo sapiens (human). Its description in RNAcentral is "HSALNT0126670". Lineage: Eukaryota; Metazoa; Chordata; Mammalia; Primates; Hominidae. The record is from RNAcentral.